RNAcentral lists this long non-coding RNA (428 nucleotides) under Musa acuminata (dwarf banana). RNAcentral describes it as "long non-coding RNA (MACU_LNC006459)". The record is from RNAcentral. Lineage: Eukaryota; Viridiplantae; Streptophyta; Magnoliopsida; Zingiberales; Musaceae.
UCGAGGACGGCCUCGUGGAGCCGCGGCCACGCGCGGACCAGCGCGUCCUGGUGGUGCUGCAGCACGUAGGCGGCGUAGGAGGCGCCGUCGCCGGAGGGGACGAGGGUGCGGCCGACGUCGGUGAGGGAGUAGCGGCGAGCGCCGGAGGUGGCGCAGCGGUUCUCGGCGAAGACGCCGUGGCUGGCGAGGAGGCGGAGGAGGCGCUGGAGGACGGACGGGUCGGAGGAAGAGGGCGGCGGGGGGCGGAGGAGGGCGAGGAUCUCGGCUGCGGUGAGGGGGGAGUUAGAUCCGGACUGCCAGAUGGCGUCGGGGACGUUGAGGCGGACGACGGCGUUUAGCGCCAUGGGGACGGAGAUCAUGUUGGCGAGCUCCAUCAUCGCCAGCCGACCCUGCUUUCCGACCUCCGACGUCGGAUCCUCUCGACCGCC